This 4777-nucleotide long non-coding RNA is filed under the name Vigna radiata. Its description in RNAcentral is "long non-coding RNA (VRAD_LNC007422)". Lineage: Eukaryota; Viridiplantae; Streptophyta; Magnoliopsida; Fabales; Fabaceae. The record is from RNAcentral.
CAAACAAAAAUAUUUCACUUAUUUAUCUGUUUUUAUCAACACUUGUUCGUGCAACCAAAUUUUGGAAGAUGGCCAAGAGAAAUGUCGCUGGUAAUUCUUCUUUUGAAAGAACUACUUUGGCUUCUAUAGAUCAAAAGUUGGCCUUGGCCAAGCGCUGUUCUCACGGUAAUACAAUGCACAACUUUCUGCAAAUUUGACCGUAUCUAAAUAUUAUUUGGUUUUCAUUUAAUUUUUGUUUUGUGCGUAAACAGAGGGUGUGAUGGCAGGAGCCAAGGCAGCUGUUGUUGCUACUAUUGCCAGUGCAAUCCCAACUGUAACUAUUACUUCCACCUUUUCAAUUUUCUUUCUUUCUUUCAUUCAAUUAUUUUAGGCAUAAAGUGUUCAUGAAUCAUGAUCUGUUUGCAUUGGUUCGAUCUGCAGCUGGCUAGUGUGAAGAUGCUACCUUGGGCAAAAGCAAAUCUCAAUCACAGUGCUCAAGCUCUCAUAAUUUCCACAGGUAACUAUUAUCAUCCUAGGAUGCUCCAAUUCUCUCCUCAUAACAGUUGCUAUGGUUGUUGGAAUUAGUGAUCUAAUAAGUAGCACAUUUUGUAAACAGCGGCUGGAGCAGCAUAUUUCAUCGUAGCAGACAAGACAGUUUUGGCAACCGCAAGAAAGAACUCCUUCAAUCCACCCUCCAACCCAUGAAUUCCAAAUCUGACAACUUGGUUGUUGAAUUCAGCUAUCGUAGCAUUAACCGAUCAUCCAACUCAUCACAUAUGUAUGUAUUCAGAAAAAUUAUAAUAAAGAAGGCUUUUUGCAUUACAGUGAGAGAGCACUUAUGUACCAAACAUCAGUUAAUUAUUAAAAAUGCAAAUCAACUGCCUUUCUUUUUUGCGAGUGCAAUUUUCUUAGUAUUGAAAAUCUAUAUUUUCUGGGUAGCCCAAUGACAACUUCCACAAUUACAAGAAUCAUAUACAAACAUAAAGAUCGUGAAAAUAGUAAAGAUAUUUUUACAAUAAUGAAAUGAAUGGAUAACUUACCUACUUAACAACAACCAUGUAUAUGGAUUCCCUUAUAUAAAUUUAACUUUAAGAAAAGAAAAAUAAUUCUUUAUCACCCCAUCCUUUUAAAAAAUAUUUAGAAAGUAAUAUGCUAAAGGCUCUUUCAAUAUUUUUUUUCUUCUUCUUUAUUUCUAAUUAAGAGAUAAUAUUUUUAUUUAGAGAAAUUGUAAUUCUUUUUACUUGAUAAAAUGAAGUUCUUACAUUGCUAUAUCAGUAUAAAACCCUGGCUGGUCUCACCGCCUAUUGACAUUAUCUCACCAUGAGUUCAUCAAUGUAUAUUGGUAAUAAAUAAUUAAGUAAAAUGUAGGAAAAAAUAAUGAUAAAAUGUAGAAAAACAAAUAUGAGUGGUAAGUGUAUAAAAUGAAAAUGUUUAAAUAAUAACAUAAGAAAUUAAACCUUUUAUUCAUUUAUGUCAGAUUAAAAGGUUAAGAAGGAAAAUGAAAGAGGGAGAUAAUAAGUACGUAUUGGGUCAUGAGCAUUGCUGUUAAAAUAUGUCUUCUUCUGUGCUAACAGCCAAGAGCAGUGCAGAGAAAGCAUGGAUUAUAAGGAAGCAUUAAUCACGUAAAGACUUUAUCUUAGUGGCUUAUCAGUUAUAAAAAUGAAACUAUUAAUUUUAACUUUUGACAGUGAUAAUUAUAAAAAAUUAAAGAAAAUAUAGUGUGAAUAAAUAAUAUCCACAACAAGCCCUUGUGUGUAUAUAUUUUAUAGUGUAAGGUAAGAUCUAAUACCACAGAACAGAUAAAUAAAUGCUUAAUAAAUUAGUCAUGAACACUGAACACUUCAGAACAGGAAGGGUAAUAGUUUAACAGUAAUUUGCUGUGUUUUACUAUUUGGACUUUUAGCAUAUGCAUUCUCAUGCCACUGUAUUAAAAUAUAGGAAAUUAGAAAAUAACUGUCAUAUGGAGAUAAUCAGCAUAGAAUCAGUUCAAAUGGGAAAAAGUUGAAGUGAUAGAACUCAGGUUGGCUGUUUCAUCUUUUACAAUAUUAUAUUUUUAGUAAUUAUUUUACCUUUGGUAUAUCUAAAAAUACGUCUCAUUAAUAUUUUAAUUUUAAUAAAUACUUUUUUAAUUUUUAAAAUAAUAAAAAGUUCUAGAAAAUAAUUUCCUACUUUCUCUCUUCGAAAAUAAUAAAAAAAACUUAUCCCACAGCUUUUUAGAGUCCCACAGCCAGAAUAUAGCACAUGGGGAGUUCAACACGUGUUGCAAUCUAACUAAAGAUGCCAAUGUUUUCUUAUUGCAACUUUAACAGUGAUGAAUCCAAUGUUUCAUCACAUUGAACCCAUUUUUGCAAACGCACUCGGUCUUAUGAAUAUAUGUAUAAUUGUUAAUGUUAUGGUUGGAAAAGAAAUUUAAACAUGUACCGACGCUAAAAUUAAUUUAUAUGUAAAUUUAAAAAUAUAUAGAUUAUAUGAGAACUAUACGAUAAUUUAUGUAUAAGUUAUUUUUAGUUUAUAAAAAUGAUCUAAUUUAUAAAGAAACUUUAUCACAUCCUUUAUAUUUUUAUUUUUAUUAAAGAAAAUGACUGGAGAUGCAAUUACAAUAAUCUAUUAACCUACCCUGAACAUGGUAUCAUGAUAUUGACUCUGAUAUCUUAGUACUGUAAAAUAUUUAGUUAUUGGGAUUGAUGUAGGAGAAAUGCCCAUGGUUUUUGUCCAUAUUCUAUCUAAACCACCAGCACUCUUUUUUAGUUUUCUUAUUAUAUUACUAAAAAAGUGGCGGACUAAACAAAGAUAAUCAAAAUGUUUUUUUUACACAUAUCAGUUGAAAAUUACUUUUAGACGUAUUAUGGUUAUUCUUACCGGAAUUUUUUUCUCUGUUUUUCUUUUUACAUGUGAUAUAACAUGUGAUUUUAAAGUUGAAAAGAUUACAAUUUUAUUAUUUAUAAAAACGAAGUAGUGAAUAUAAAUAUGAUUAUUAGAGUAUAUAAAAAAUUAAUUAUAUUUAUAAGAUUGUACACUUAUAUUAUAAUAUUGAAUAAUAUUCUAAAAGUAAUAUUUAUUAUAAGAAGAUGAUAAUAACAAAAUAAUAUAAUAUAAUAUAAAUAAGUUAAACUUAUUGAAAAUAGAAAAUUUUAAGAAAAAUUGGAUUGAAAUAUAUAAUCAGUUUAAGUGGUAGUUUAUCAAAAAUAAAAAUUUUAAGAAACUUUGAAUUGGAAUAGGAUUUUUUAUUCCUUUAAUUCUUUUAAAAUAAAAAUAUAGAAAUAAUUAAAAUAUUUGUUUGAUCAAAACAUUAUUUUUAAUUUUUAUAAGAUAUUAUCAUGAUAACAAUGUUACAUCACAAUGAUAUUGAUAGUGUUAUGUAACAUAAUAUUAAUUUAUCAGGUGAUAUUUUUUUUUAAUUAUAAAAAUUAAAUAUAUUAUAAACUGUGUGUACAACGUUAAUCUUAAAAUAUAAAAGAAAAUUAAUUAAACUACUUUUACAAAUAGGAGGAAUUAAUCGGAAAAAAUAAAAGAACAGAUUAAAUCAGGAAAAACAAUACUAGAACCAAGACAACAAUUAAGGCUUCAAAUUAAAGACGGUGUGAUUUGGUUUUGGAGUUUUAUGGCAGCUGUGGAUAAGACCAGUACUUCCAUUCCUCAGUGCACUGUGUUAGAAUAAGAUAGGACAAAAAUCCUCACAUGCCCAAACUUGGAUAAAGUAUGAAAAUAAUUCAGGGAACAACAGAAGCAUCAACAGACCAAAACCGAAACGGAUACUUUAGUGAAAAACAACUGUCUGAGACCGUGGAUUUCAAUUGAAACCAUCAAACUGCACACUACCCACUUUUUUCGGAAAUAGUUUUAAACAAAUGAUUUUGUUUUCUUCACCAAAACUCAGUAUAAAUAUGCCACCAACUUCAGCAGCUAUUCAACCAAACAUACUUCAAUCAUUCAUCUGAUUUUACCAACACUUGUUCCAUUCUUAGCUUUUGUCCAACCAAAUUUUGGAAGAUGGCCAAGAGAAAUGUUGCUGCUAAUUCUUCUUUUGAAAGGACAAGCUUGGCUUCCCUGGAUCAAAAGUUGGCCUUGGCCAAGCGCUGUUCUCACGGUAAUACAUGCACAGCUUUCUGCAAAUUUCACCAUAUCUGAAUAUUAUGUGUUUUCAUUUACAUUUUUGUUUUGUGUGUAAACAGAGGGUGUUAUGGCAGGAGUCAAGGCAGCUGUUGUUGCUACUAUUGCCACUGCCAUCCCAACUGUAAACAUUACUUCCACCUUUUGAAUUUUCUUUCUUUCAUUCAAUUAUUUUUGGCAUAAAGUGUUCAUGAAUCAUGAUCUGUUUGCAUUGGUUCGAUCUGCAGCUGGCUAGUGUGAAGAUGCUACCUUGGGCAAAAGCAAAUCUCAAUCACAGUGCUCAAGCUCUCAUAAUUUCCACAGGUAACUAUUAUCAUCCUAGGAUGCUCCAAUUCUCUCCUCAUAACAGUUACUAUGGUUGUUGGAAUAAUUAGUGAUCUAAUAAGUAGCACAUUCUGUAAACAGUGGCAGGAGCAGCAUACUUCAUCGUAGCAGACAAGACCGUUUUGGCAACUGCGAGAAAGAACUCCUUCAACCCACCCUCCAACCCAUAAAUUCGACAUCUGACAACUUGGAUAUGGAAUUCAGCUGCAUUACAUUGAACUAUCUUAGCUUCAACCCAAUCAACGAACUCGUCACAUGUAUAUAUGCAUUUGAAAUAAAGAAAGAUUUGCAUUUCAUUGUAUAGUGAGAGAUCAAAUAUUUUUCGAUUAUCGGUUAUAUGAAUGCAAAUCGUUGGCCUUUCUUC